Non-coding RNA from Podarcis lilfordi (Lilford's wall lizard), 73 nucleotides. The record is from the annotation of a GenBank genome assembly. NCBI's taxonomy places the organism in Eukaryota, Metazoa, Chordata, Lepidosauria, Squamata, Lacertidae.
GGAGGACAUAGUUCACUGGCAGAGCAUCUGCUUUGCAUGCAGAAGAUCUCAGGUUCAAUCCCCAACAUCUCCA